GAUCAUGGCUCAGGAUGAACGCUGGCGGCGUGCCUAACACAUGCAAGUCGAACGAAGCACUUUUUUACGAUCCCUUCGGGGUGACGGAUUUGUGACUGAGUGGCGGACGGGUGAGUAACGCGUGGGAAACCUGCCUUGUACCGGGGGAUAGCAGUUGGAAACGACUGAUAAUACCGCAUAAGCGCACAGUAUCACAUGAUACAGUGUGAAAAACUCCGGUGGUACAAGAUGGACCCGCGGCGCAUUAGCUAGUUGGUGAGGUAACGGCUCACCAAGGCGACGAUGCGUAGCCGACCUGAGAGGGUGAUCGGCCACAUUGGAACUGAGACACGGUCCAGACUCCUACGGGAGGCAGCAGUGGGGAAUAUUGCACAAUGGGCGAAAGCCUGAUGCAGCAACGCCGCGUGGGUGAUGAAGGUUUUCGGAUCGUAAAGCCCUGUCUUUUGGGACGAUAAUGACGGUACCAAAGGAGGAAGCCACGGCUAACUACGUG
Molecule: ribosomal RNA, 493 nt
Filed under: uncultured bacterium
Lineage: Bacteria
Description: bacterial SSU rRNA
Rfam family: Bacterial small subunit ribosomal RNA
Source: RNAcentral